This 267-nucleotide long non-coding RNA is filed under the name Phoenix dactylifera (date palm). Its description in RNAcentral is "long non-coding RNA (PDAC_LNC015532)". Lineage: Eukaryota; Viridiplantae; Streptophyta; Magnoliopsida; Arecales; Arecaceae. The record is from RNAcentral.
CAUUUCCUCUUACGUGGGGCAGGUGGAGUUGAGCAUACAGACUGCUCCGUCGGGCCCUCCGAGAGAUCUACUCCCUCAGAUCUACCUCUGCUGCUUUGCCCUUUCUCCACACUCAUUUUCCUCUAUUCUCUUUCAGCUUUUUCCUCUUUGUUUCUGAUCUCCCACUAUUUUGCUUUAUCUAUCAGCCUAGACAAGGUGGGGACCUCUACUGCCAGUACUGCAUUAUAAAGCGGGAAAAUCAAGCCCCGCCUGAAUCUUUCUAUCCUG